GAUCGUCUUGGCCGAGUGAUUUAUUGCUCCAGUUUCUCCAAGACACUGUCGCCAGGUGUGCGUAUCGGCUGGAUGAUUGC
This 80-nucleotide transfer RNA is filed under the name Pseudomonas cichorii. RNAcentral describes it as "tRNA-Trp". Lineage: Bacteria; Pseudomonadati; Pseudomonadota; Gammaproteobacteria; Pseudomonadales; Pseudomonadaceae. The record is from RNAcentral.